This 731-nucleotide ribosomal RNA is filed under the name uncultured Planctomycetota bacterium. RNAcentral's name for it is "bacterial SSU rRNA". It matches the Rfam family "Bacterial small subunit ribosomal RNA", at positions 78 to 814 of the family's 1533-position model. The record is from RNAcentral. Lineage: Bacteria; Pseudomonadati; Planctomycetota.
AGCAAUACGGGGACAGCGGCGAAAGGGAGAGUGACACGUGGGUACCUACCCUCGGAUUCGGGAUAGCUACGGGAAACUGUAGGUAAUACCGAAUAACGUCUCCGGACCAAAGGUGUGAUUCCGUCCGGGGAGGGGCCCACGUCCUAUUAGCUAGUUGGUGAGGUAACGGCCCACCAAGGCAAAGAUGGGUAUGGGGUGUGAGAGCAUGCCCCCACUCACUGGGACUGAGACACUGCCCAGACACCUACGGGUGGCUGCAGUCGAGGAUCUUCGGCAAUGGGGGAAACCCUGACCGAGCGACGCCGCGUGCGGGAUGAAGGCCUUCGGGUUGUAAACCGCUGUCAGAGGGGAGGAAAUGCCGGGAAGUAAUAAAUAAUCGACCCGGUUUGACCUAUCCUCAGAGGAAGGACGGGCUAAGUUCGUGCCAGCAGCCGCGGUAAUACGAACCGUCCAAACGUUAUUCGGAAUCACUGGGCUUAAAGGGUGCGUAGGCGGCCCGAAAAGUUGGGUGUGAAAGCCCUCGGCUCAACCGAGGAAUUGCGCCCAAAACUGCCGGGCUCGAGGGAGACAGAGGUGAGCGGAACUUAGGGUGGAGCGGUGAAAUGCGUUGAUAUCCUAAGGAACACCAGUAGCGUAAGCGGCUCACUGGGUCUCUUCUGACGCUGAGGCACGAAAGCUAGGGGAGCGAAGAGGAUUAGAUACCCUCGUAGUCCUAGCCUUAAACGAUGAGC